Molecule: ribosomal RNA, 253 nt
Filed under: uncultured prokaryote
Description: partial 16S ribosomal RNA
Rfam family: Bacterial small subunit ribosomal RNA
Source: RNAcentral
UACGUAGGCAGCGAGCGUUGUUCGGAGUUACUGGGCGUAAAGGGUGUGUAGGCGGUUCUUUAAGUUUGGUGUGAAAUCUCCCGGCUUAACCGGGAGGGUGCGCCGAAUACUGAGGGACUAGAGUGCGGGAGAGGAAAGUGGAAUUCCUGGUGUAGCGGUGAAAUGCGUAGAUAUCUGGAGGAACACCGGUGGCGAAGGCGGCAUCCUGGACCGGCAUUGACGCUGAGGUGCGAAAGCCAGGGGAGCAAACGGG